CGCCGAGAGGCUGGAGCUGCGGCAGCGCAGGCCCGGGCCGCCGUGUCUCCGCCGCCCGCUUCAGUUUUCCUCGGGGC
This is a microRNA precursor of Cricetulus griseus (Chinese hamster), 77 nucleotides long. Lineage: Eukaryota; Metazoa; Chordata; Mammalia; Rodentia; Cricetidae. The record is from Ensembl.